AGUGAACGCUGGCGGUAGGCCUAACACAUGCAAGUCGAACGGUAGCACCGUAAGAGCUUGCUCCUACGGGUGGAGGGUGGCGGACCGCUGAGGAAUACAUCGCAAUCUACUUUUUCAUGGGGGAUAAAGUAGGGAAACUUACGAUAAUACCGCAUACGACCUAGGGGUGAAAGCAGAGGAUCUUCGGACCUUGCGCGAUUGCAUGAGCCGAUGUCGGAUUAGCUAGUUGGCGGGGUAAAGGACCACCAAGGCGACGAUCCGUAGCUGGACUGAGAGGAUGAUCAGCCACACUGGAGCUGAGACACGGGCCAGACUCCUACGGGAGGCACCAGUGGGGAAUAUUGGACAAUGGGCGCAAGCCUGAUCCAGCCAUAGCGCGUGGGUGAAGAAGGGCUUCGGGUUGUAAAGCCCUUUUGUUGGGAAAGAAAAUCAGCAGUUUAAUACCCCGCUAUUCUGACGGUACCCAAAGAAGAAGCACCGGCUAACUUCGUG
RNAcentral lists this ribosomal RNA (492 nucleotides) under uncultured bacterium. RNAcentral describes it as "partial 16S ribosomal RNA". It matches the Rfam family "Bacterial small subunit ribosomal RNA", at positions 29 to 507 of the family's 1533-position model. The record is from RNAcentral.